This 1251-nucleotide ribosomal RNA is filed under the name metagenome. RNAcentral describes it as "bacterial LSU rRNA". It matches the Rfam family "Bacterial large subunit ribosomal RNA", at positions 1686 to 2925 of the family's 2925-position model. The record is from RNAcentral.
UCGAUCGAGUGAAUCGUGGUUAAGGAAUUCGGCAAAAUACCCCCGUAACUUCGGGAGAAGGGGGGCCCAGAGGGUGGCGGGACUUGCUCCCCGAGCCUGAACGGCCGCAGAGACCAGGGAGAAGCGACUGUUUACUAAAAACACAGGUCCGUGCUAAGUUGCAAGACGAUGUAUACGGACUGACGCCUGCCCGGUGCUGGAACGUUAAGGGGACCGGUUAGCCUCACGGCGAAGCUGAGAACUUAAGCGCCAGUAAACGGCGGUGGUAACUAUAACCAUCCUAAGGUAGCGAAAUUCCUUGUCGGGUAAGUUCCGACCUGCACGAAUGGCGUAACGAUUUCUCCACUGUCUCAACCACGAACUCGGCGAAAUUGCACUACGAGUAAAGAUGCUCGUUACGCGCAGAAGGACGGAAAGACCCCGGGACCUUACUACAGCUUGGUAUUGGUGUUCGGUACGGCUUGUGUAGGAUAGGUGGGAGACUGUGAAGCUGACACGCCAGUGUCGGUGGAGUCAACGUUGAAAUACCACUCUGGUCGUUCUGGAUAUCUAACCUAGGUCCGUGAUCCGGAUCAGGGACAGUGCCUGGUGGGUAGUUUAACUGGGGCGGUUGCCUCCUAAAAGGUAACGGAGGCGCCCAAAGGUUCCCUCAGCCUGGUUGGCAAUCAGGUUUUGAGUGUAAGUGCACAAGGGAGCUUGACUGUGAGACUGACAAGUCGAACAGGGACGAAAGUCGGGACUAGUGAUCCGGCGGUGGCUUGUGGAAGCGCCGUCGCUCAACGGAUAAAAGGUACCCCGGGGAUAACAGGCUGAUCUUGCCCAAGAGUCCGUAUCGACGGCAUGGUUUGGCACCUCGAUGUCGGCUCGUCGCAUCCUGGGGCUGGAGUAGGUCCCAAGGGUUGGGCUGUUCGCCCAUUAAAGCGGUACGCGAGCUGGGUUUAGAACGUCGUGAGACAGUUCGGUCCCUAUCCUCUGCGCGCGCAGGAAACUUGAGAAGGGCUGUCCCUAGUACGAGAGGACCGGGAUGGACGAACCUCUGGUGUGUCAGUUGUUCUGCCAAGAGCACCGCUGAUUAGCUACGUUCGGGAGUGAUAACCGCUGAAAGCAUCUAAGCGGGAAGCAUGCUUCAAGAUGAGGUUUCCAUGGGGUUUAGCCCCGAGAGGCUCCCAGCUAGACUACUGGGUUGAUAGGCCGGAUGUGGAAGUGCGGUAACGCAUGGAGCUGACCGGUACUAAUAAGCCGAUAACUUGA